GUUGUAUAGUCAAGUAAUUAAGUGCAUGUGGUGGAUGCCUUGGCAGUCAGAGGCGAUGAAAGACGUGAUAGCCUGCGAAAAGCUCCGGGGAGGCGGCAAAUAUCCUUUGAUCCGGAGAUGUCUGAAUGGGGGAACCCACCUACUUUAAGGUAGGUAUUGCAACAUGAAUACAUAGUGUUGCAAGGCGAACGAGGGGAAGUGAAACAUCUCAGUACCCUUAGGAAAAGAAAUCAAUUGAGAUUCCCUCAGUAGCGGCGAGCGAACGGGGAUCAGCCCAUUAAGUUAUGUGUGUUUUAGUGGAACGCUCUGGGAAGUGCGAACGUAGAGGGUGAUAUUCCCGUACACGAAAGGGCACACAUAAUGAUGACGAGUAGGGCGAGGCACGUGAAACCUUGUCUGAAUAUGGGGGGACCAUCCUCCAAGGCUAAAUACUCCUGACUGACCGAUAGUGAACCAGUACCGUGAGGGAAAGGCGAAAAGAACCCCUGUGAGGGGAGUG
This 499-nucleotide ribosomal RNA is filed under the name Acinetobacter baumannii. Its description in RNAcentral is "partial 23S ribosomal RNA". It matches the Rfam family "Bacterial large subunit ribosomal RNA", at positions 1 to 540 of the family's 2925-position model. The record is from RNAcentral. Lineage: Bacteria; Pseudomonadati; Pseudomonadota; Gammaproteobacteria; Moraxellales; Moraxellaceae.